Molecule: long non-coding RNA, 377 nt
Filed under: Capsicum annuum
Lineage: Eukaryota; Viridiplantae; Streptophyta; Magnoliopsida; Solanales; Solanaceae
Description: long non-coding RNA (CANN_LNC020477)
Source: RNAcentral
UCUCUCAAAUCUCAAUUCUCAAUUCUCAAAUAUUCAAUAUAUUUAAUUUCUUAAAGUGUUCACUUUAAUUUUUUAAUUUUUCGUUUACAAAGUACGAGCGGAAGUUUCUAAAGUUGCAAUCUUCGGAUACUUCCAAAAUUUGGUAUUGUCGUUCCAUCUCUUACGUUUAAUUUUUAUUUAUUGUAUUAAUUAUUUAAUAUUUAAUUUUAUUAUAUUUGUGUAUUUUGAAUAUUUUUAGUUUAAUUUAAUUUAUAUUAUGGAUAAAUUAAGAAACCUCGCUACUAAAGGUGUUAAAAUUUUUUGUCCCGGAAGCGGUAGUGGUAGUAAAAAGAGAAUAACUAGCGGUAGAGGUAGUUCAAGUAGUAGAUAUACCCCUG